RNAcentral lists this ribosomal RNA (701 nucleotides) under Pseudomonadota bacterium. Its description in RNAcentral is "bacterial SSU rRNA". It matches the Rfam family "Bacterial small subunit ribosomal RNA", at positions 28 to 722 of the family's 1533-position model. Lineage: Bacteria; Pseudomonadati; Pseudomonadota. The record is from RNAcentral.
AUUGAACGCUGGCGGCAUGCCUUACACAUGCAAGUCGAACGGCAGCACGGGAGCAAUCCUGGUGGCGAGUGGCGAACGGGUGAGUAAUAUAUCGGAACGUGCCCAGUCGUGGGGGAUAACGCAGCGAAAGCUGUGCUAAUACCGCAUACGAUCUAUGGAUGAAAGCGGGGGACCCGUAAGGGCCUCGCGCGAUUGGAGCGGCCGAUAUCAGAUUAGGUAGUUGGUGUGGUAAAAGCGCACCAAGCCGACGAUCUGUAGCUGGUCUGAGAGGACGACCAGCCACACUGGAACUGAGACACGGUCCAGACUCCUACGGGAGGCAGCAGUGGGGAAUUUUGGACAAUGGGCGCAAGCCUGAUCCAGCAAUGCCGCGUGCAGGAUGAAGGCCUUCGGGUUGUAAACUGCUUUUGUACGGAGCGAAACGGUCUGCUUUAAUACAGUGGGCUAAUGACGGUACCGUAAGAAUAAGCACCGGCUAACUACGUGCCAGCAGCCGCGGUAAUACGUAGGGUGCGAGCGUUAAUCGGAAUUACUGGGCGUAAAGCGUGCGCAGGCGGUUAUAUAAGACAGAUGUGAAAUCCCCGGGCUCAACCUGGGACCUGCAUUUGUGACUGUAUAGCUAGAGUACGGUAGAGGGGGAUGGAAUUCCGCGUGUAGCAGUGAAAUGCGUAGAUAUGCGGAGGAACACCGAUGGCGAAGGC